Long non-coding RNA from Gallus gallus (chicken), 2302 nucleotides. RefSeq lists it as uncharacterized. The record is from RefSeq and is a predicted model, not a curated record. NCBI's taxonomy places the organism in Eukaryota, Metazoa, Chordata, Aves, Galliformes, Phasianidae. The transcript has 3 exons.
ACAGUCAGCCUCAGCAAGGACUUAAGACAGAACAUGCUUGUGAAGUCUGCAGGUGGCACCUAGAUGGUAAGAGCUGCAGCCACCAGAGAGGCUAGGAUUAGAAUACACGUUUCUCAGACAUCAGCUAAGCAAUUGACAAAGAGAGCAAAACAAGUGGAAGAGACAAAUGCUAAAGGACAAAAUAAGGAAUGAAGAGCUGGCAGCAAUCCUACAGACAGCCAUCUGGGGUUAUGACAGACCUCAAACCUAAUGAAUUAACAGUGUAAUGCAGUGUUUAACAAGGGAGAAAAAAAAAAAGCCACACAACUCGUUCUGGAACAUAUUGCCAUGAACAUUUUCCACAGAGAUAGGGGAGGUAUUUUUUCUGUUCAGUCAGAGAACUGCAUUCCAGCUGGGGCAGCAGGGUUUCCAGCCGGUCUGUGUCUGUCUGCCAGGGGGCCCAGGAAUGAGCACAUUGGGAGGGGAGAGGGGAACCGUGAUGAUUUAAAGGAGAAGGAAGCAGGGAAUGUAACAGCACAAAACCCAACAGUGUUACACAGGACGUCAGUUAUCUUCAGAGCCAUGUGCAGACAAACACCUGUUUUCUAAAGAUGUGUGUGGAAGACAGCUUGUUAACACACAGCACUGACCCAGGCGAGGUAGAAGCAUUCCAGAACCUCUGCUUUCCGCUUCACGUAGUGGACAGAAAGAAUAGAACAGAACGCAGCAGUUCCUUCCAGCCCUGCUUUCAGACACCUUAAGAGCCAGCUCGGAAGGAAAAGAACACCACAAAUCAACGCGUCCAAACGGUGACGCCGGUUUUACCUGCCAAAACGACUACCGACGCGCACUGCCCGCAGCACGCUGUCGUUAAGCACUGCUUCACCACCUCCACCUUCCAGCCCCGGCGCAAGGGCAGCGAAUGUAAAAGAUGAUGUAGCUGUAGGUUCUUUGGGACACAGCGAUGCCAUCCUGCCCCAUUCACACCAUGAUGCCAACCACAUCUGCUCCACUGUGGAGAAGCUGUGUUCAGUUGCACAACUUGGGUAAGAGGAUGAUUUACUCUUGAAGCACAAACUUCAGUAUUUUAUAGCAAAGAAAUCUGCAAGGAUUCCACCCUUGCAUUUUUGAAGAGUCCAGAACAAUAAACAAGUUCCCCAGACAGAAGCUUCUAGAUGACUGAAUGUUUGAAUUGACAAAGCAUGCACUGUUCAUGAGUGCAAUCCUUCCAUUCCUGGGCUGGAAUACCAAUGUGGCUACGAGACAAAGUCAAGCAGUACAAUAGCAAAUGAAGGGCAGGGAGGCAGUAUGCUGAGCCUGCACUGGUGCACACUGACCUCCAGUGGAACACACUGCACUCUGUGAGUAACUGUCCAUGCACAGGGGCUGGAAAAAGAGACAGUCAGAGACAGAAUUACUUGAGAAUUACUUGGAGGAAGCAUAAGGGAACAGAGACUAUUAGCAAUGUGACCAAAAACACAGCAGUGUGCCUUUGCUUCCCAACUUUAAUAAGCGGUACCAAUUGUUGUCUUAAAUGGACUUUUCAGCUCUUGGAGAAGUCUUCUGAGACGUUACAAGCAGAGAUGAAAUACAGUAUGCCUAAAUGUGCUCAGCAUAGCAUGGUCCUAGCAGCACUGUCUGGGUAAAAGCUUCUUGGAGAACAGUAAAGAAUUGCUGUCAUCUGCACUCCAGAAACCUGUUCAACCAGAACGCACAGUCUCGAGCACCAUCAGACACAAAGAAUUGAUAUGCUAGAAGGUUCCAUCCGGUCUGCCCCAUUGGGAGUUACUGUUUCACAGGGCAUCUUCUCUCGCAGACACGAGUGCUCAAUUUCUACUGUUAGAUGUUAAAGGGCAAGGACGUCACUGUUGCUUCAAGGAAAAGACAGAAGAUUGAGGUGUGGGUGCAGAAUUAUCUAAAACGCAACAAAACAAAGUAUUUGUGCAAGAAUAAUAAUCUGUACAUUUACAUUUUUUCUAAGUUUGCUUCAGUAUAAAAAAAAACCUUUUCAAUCCCACUAACAAAACUUCAUUCUUGUUUAUGAUCCUUCACACACUUGAGAGUUCCAUGCUUUUCUUCAUCCUCAAUGGUACACUAAUAAAUCCAGCCACCAUUUUUGUAGUCCAAGACAAAGACGGGAGCUCUGUUACAUCUGCAGUAGUCUGGGGCAGUUAGACAAGUUUUUUCUGUCUCUACAGGCACGGUGCUUGUUUAACUGGCCUGGGGAAUAACAUAGCCAAGAAUAAGCCAUGUCAUCUUCUCCAGCAGUGCAGAGCACUCUGGCCAUUUUUAUCUACUUAUCUAGAUGGUUGUCACUAGAAUU